GAUGAACGCUGGCGGCGUGCCUAAUACAUGCAAGUCGAGCGAACGGACGAGAAGCUUGCUUCUCUGAUGUUAGCGGCGGACGGGUGAGUAACACGUUGAUAACCUACCUAUAAGACUGGGAUAACUUCGGGAAACCGGAGCUAAUACCGGAUAAUAUUUUGAACCGCAUGGUUCAAAAGUGAAAGACGGUCUUGCUGUCACUUAUACAUGUAUCCGCGCUGCAUUAGCUAGUUGGUAAGGUAACGGCUUACCAAGGCAACGAUGCAUAGCCGACCUGAGAGGGUGAUCGGCCACACUGGAACUGAGACACGGUCCAGACCACUACGGGAGGCAGCAGUAGGGAAUCUUCCGCAAUGGGCGAGAGCCUGAAGGAGCAACGCCGCGUGAGUGAUGAAAGUCUUCGGAUCUUAAAACUCUGUUAUUAGGGAAGAACAUAUGUGUAAGUAACUGUGCACAUCUUGACGGUACCUAAUCAGAAAGCCACGGCUAACUACGUG
RNAcentral lists this ribosomal RNA (497 nucleotides) under uncultured bacterium. RNAcentral describes it as "partial 16S ribosomal RNA". It matches the Rfam family "Bacterial small subunit ribosomal RNA", at positions 28 to 507 of the family's 1533-position model. The record is from RNAcentral.